AUUGAACGCUGGCGGCAUGCCUUACACAUGCAAGUCGAACGGCAGCACGGGUGCUUGCACCUGGUGGCGAGUGGCGAACGGGUGAGUAAUACAUCGGAACGUACCUUAUCGUGGGGGAUAACGCAGCGAAAGCUGUGCUAAUACCGCAUACGCCCUGAGGGGGAAAGCGGGGGAUCGCAAGACCUCGCGCGAUUAGAGCGGCCGAUGCCUGAUUAGCUAGUUGGUGGGGUAAAAGCCCACCAAGGCGACGAUCAGUAGCUGGUCUGAGAGGACGAUCAGCCACACUGGGACGGGGACACGGCCCAGACUCCUACGGGAGGCAGCAGUGGGGAAGUUUGGACAAUGGGGGCAACCCUGAUCCAGCAAUGCCGCGUGAGUGAAGAAGGCCUUCGGGUUGUAAAGCUCUUUUGUCAGGGAAGAAACACCGGCUCUAACACAGUCCGGGAAUGACGGUACCUGAAGAAUAAGCACCGGCUAACUACGUGCCAGCCGCCGCCGUAA
Molecule: ribosomal RNA, 501 nt
Filed under: uncultured bacterium
Lineage: Bacteria
Description: partial 16S ribosomal RNA
Rfam family: Bacterial small subunit ribosomal RNA
Source: RNAcentral